AGUCGAACGAACUCUGGUAUUGAUUGGUGCUUGCAUCAUGAUUUACAUUUGAGUGAGUGGCGAACUGGUGAGUAACACGUGGGAAACCUGCCCAGAAGCGGGGGAUAACACCUGGAAACAGAUGCUAAUACCGCAUAACAACUUGGACCGCAUGGUCCGAGUUUGAAAGAUGGCUUCGGCUAUCACUUUUGGAUGGUCCCGCGGCGUAUUAGCUAGAUGGUGGGGUAACGGCUCACCAUGGCAAUGAUACGUAGCCGACCUGAGAGGGUAAUCGGCCACAUUGGGACUGAGACACGGCCCAAACUCCUACGGGAGGCAGCAGUAGGGAAUCUUCCACAAUGGACGAAAGUCUGAUGGAGCAACGCCGCGUGAGUGAAGAAGGGUUUCGGCUCGUAAAACUCUGUUGUUAAAGAAGAACAUAUCUGAGAGUAACUGUUCAGGUAUUGACGGUAUUUAACCAGAAAGCCACGGCUAACUACGUGCCAGCAGCCGCGGUAAUACGUAGGUGGCAAGCGUUGUCCGGAUUUAUUGGGCGUAAAGCGAGCGCAGGCGGUUUUUUAAGUCUGAUGUGAAAGCCUUCGGCUCAACCGAAGAAGUGCAUCGGAAACUGGGAAACUUGAGUGCAGAAGAGGACAGUGGAACUCCAUGUGUAGCGGUGAAAUGCGUAGAUAUAUGGAAGAACACCAGUGGCGAAGGCGGCUGUCUGGUCUGUAACUGACGCUGAGGCUCGAAAGUAUGGGUAGCAAACAGGAUUAGAUACCCUGGUAGUCCAUACCGUAAACGAUGAAUGCUAAGUGUUGGAGGGUUUCCGCCCUUCAGUGCUGCAGCUAACGCAUUAAGCAUUCCGCCUGGGGAGUACGGCCGCAAGGCUGAAACUCAAAGGAAUUGACGGGGGCCCGCACAAGCGGUGGAGCAUGUGGUUUAAUUCGAAGCUACGCGAAGAACCUUACCAGGUCUUGACAUACUAUGCAAAUCUAAGAGAUUAGACGUUCCCUUCGGGGACAUGGAUACAGGUGGUGCAUGGUUGUCGUCAGCUCGUGUCGUGGGAUGUUGGGUUAAGUCCCGCAACGAGCGCAACCCUUAUUAUC
RNAcentral lists this ribosomal RNA (1088 nucleotides) under Lactiplantibacillus plantarum. Its description in RNAcentral is "bacterial SSU rRNA". It matches the Rfam family "Bacterial small subunit ribosomal RNA", at positions 60 to 1112 of the family's 1533-position model. The record is from RNAcentral. Lineage: Bacteria; Bacillati; Bacillota; Bacilli; Lactobacillales; Lactobacillaceae.